Molecule: long non-coding RNA, 3057 nt
Organism: Symphalangus syndactylus (siamang)
Lineage: Eukaryota; Metazoa; Chordata; Mammalia; Primates; Hylobatidae
Source: RefSeq, a predicted model, not a curated record
CCCAGGCUGCCGCGGGAGGGCGCCAUCUUGGCCCCGCGGAGCGUGACUGUCUCGGCUGGAAGCGUGGGAGGCUGGAGGCUCCGUGACUGGCUGUCGUGGACAUGCUCAAUACACCUCCCGGGGGUUCGCUUCGUUUACUAUUAACUGUCGUUACUCCUCUGUAUCUCGUCAGCAGGGGCAGCCUGCGGUGUUAGAAUUACACGUCCCUGCCACCUGGGCAGGGAGCCCAGUCUCCCGGCCCCUCAGUCAGUCCUUGGACGUAGCUGGAGCAUUUAAGAAAAAUGAAAUAUAGUAACUCAGUGCAUGGUUUCCUGGGCCUUUUUAUUGAGUAUCAUUUCUAACAUGUCCACAAUAUAACCCAGGCCUAGUGGAUUCUGGGACAGAAAUGUUGGAAGCUGGGAUAGUCAAGUAAACAAGAAGAAAUUGUAAAGAGAUGCCAAGUGGGAGAGGAAACUGUACGGAUGCAGAGAGAGGAUCUGGGGUUAGCCAAGUGAAGCAGUGGGAGUGAAGAAGGAACAAAGAAAUCUGUAAAGUAGUUGUGAUCAAUUAGUUGUAAACACCACUACACUCAGACUCAGACCAGCUUGCAUUGACUUUUAUGACCUAAUCUCAGAGGUUGUACAGCGUCACUUCCACUGUACUCUACUUGUUGACGCAGCUACAAAAACACCACAUUUAAGUAAAGGGGACACUAAUUGGGAGGAGUGUUAGUCACAUUAUAAGAAUAGCAUGUGGAAUGAGCGAUUACGUAGAGAUAUUAUUGCAGUCAUUUAAGGAAAAUAUAAUCUCCCAUAAUAUUAAUAUCUAUUUUCCUUUUGUAAAAAAAAAAUGUACCAUUUCAGGCUGAGCAUGUUGGCUCACGCCUGUAAUCAUAGCAUUUUGGGAGGCUGAGGCCGGUGGAUUCCCUGAGGUCAGGAAUUCAAGACCAGCCUGGCCGACAUGGCAAAACCUUGUCUCUGCUAAAAAUACAAAAAUUAGCCGGGUGUGGUGGCAGUCACCUAUAAUCCCAGCUACUCGGAAGGCUGAGGCAGGAGAAUCACUUGAACCCAGGGGCGGAGGUUGCAGUGAGCUGAUACCACCACUGCACUCCAGCCUGGGCAACAGAGUGAAACUUGGUCUCAAAAAAAACAAAACAAAACAAAAACUAAAAUAUACCAUUUCAGAUUUUUUUUCUGAAAUUAAACCUGAAAAGGUCAAAAAAACACAUAAAUUACAGUCCAUUUCAAUUACUUACCAUGUACAGGUAUUUUCUAAGUCUAUAUUAGUUCAGACUACAGUAGUUCAAAAUACCUUAUACAGGGCAGCUUAUAAAAAACAGAAGUUUAUUUCUCAUAGUUCUGAAGGCUGGGAAGUCCGGGUUCAAGUUUCUGGCAGAUUCAGUGCCUGUCGAGGGACUGCUUUUUAGUUCACAGAUAGUGUCUUCUAGCUGUCUCCUCAUGUGGUAGAAGGGUGCCUUUUUUAUUAGUACCCCUAGUUUUAUUUAUUUUAUUUUAUUUUUUAGAGACGGGUUUUACUGUGUUGCCCAGGCUAGCCUCAAACUCCUGGGCUUGAGCGAUCCUCCACCUCAGCCUUCCAAGUAGUUGGGACUACAGGCACACGUUAAAACACCUGGUUCCUAUUAGUGCUUCUUUUAUAAAGGCACUAAUCUCAUCUAUGGCACCAGAGCACUCAUGACCUAAUUAUCUCCCAAAGAUCCCAUCCCCUAACACCAUCAUAUUGGUGAUGAGGUUUCAAUACAUGAAUUUGGGGGGCUGGGGACACAAACAAUCAGACCACAGUAGCUGUUACGUUGAUAUGAGCUGGUAAGUGUUAACACCUGGCAGCAAUCAGCUACACAGCCAUAGGUGAAGGCAGGUGAUUAGAAUUACCAGCCAACACAUUUAUGUGCUAGCUAAUUUUUAUUCAAAACUUUCUGAAGCUACAUUCAAAGCAGUUAAUGGGAAAUGGAGUAAAAAAGUAGGCAACUUCUCACGCUAGAUAAUGCUGUUAAAAGUAAUUUUUCCUCCCAGUCCUCUCCUGUAAUGAAUAGUAUAAGAAGGUAUCCUCCCAACGUAGAGGCACCUUAUGUUUCCAAAGUUUUAAUUAGUUGUCGUGAUAAUUUUAUGUGUCAACUUGACUGGGUUAAGGGAUGCCCAAAUAGGUAGUAAAACAUUAUUUCUGGGUGUAUCUGUGAAGGUGUUUCUGGAUAAGAUUAACAUUUGAAUGGGUAGACUGAGUAGAGCAGACUGUCCUCUCCCUUGUGGGUGGCCCUUAUCCAAAUGGUUGAAGGCCAAAAUAGAACAAAAAAGCUGAGUAGAGAGGAUUCCCUCUGCCUGACUACCUUUGAACUGGGACGGUGGCUGUUUCCUGCCUUUGGACUUGAACUGAAACAUCAGCUCUUUCUGAGUCUUGAGCCUCCUGGCUUUUGAACUGAAACAACAGUAAUGGCUCUCCUGGUUCUCAGGCAUUUGGACUUGGACUAGAACUACACCAUCAGUUCUCCUGGGUCUCCAGCUUGCCAAUCUCCAGUUUGCCAACUGCAGAUCUUGGGACUUGUCAGCCUCCAUAACUCUAUGAACCAAUUUUUUGUAAUAAAUUUCUUUCUAUAUGUCUAUUUAUUCUAUUGGUUCUGUUUCUCUGGAGAACCCUAAUGCCAUAGGUCUCCUCCUCCCUCCUGCUCCCCAUCACACACCCUCAUGUGCCCCCAUGUGGCCUCUUACUAAACAGGGAGAGAACAGCUGGAGAAAUGGAAGCAUUUUGUAUUGGCAUACUGAAGACUAUAUUUCUCAGCUGCCUUUGCAGGCGGGCAGGGUCAUGUGACUAUUAUGACUAAUAAAAUGUGAGCAAAAGUGACGAGUCACUUGUGGGCUGAGGCAGUGAAAAGUUGUUUGUGAUUCUCAAAUGUCUCUUCUGUUCUGCCAUUGCAAUUGUGGAAGGAGCUUUAUGUUAAAAUGGAAGAGCCAAAAGAUUGAAGUAGUCUGUCUCAGUCACCAUAUGGGAGGGCAAAUGCCCUGGAAAACCACCCAGACACACAACAAGUUUGUAUGAAUAAGAAAUAAAACUUCGUUGUAUAAGUAA